This is a long non-coding RNA of Poecilia latipinna (sailfin molly), 1391 nucleotides long. RefSeq lists it as uncharacterized. The record is from RefSeq and is a predicted model, not a curated record. Lineage: Eukaryota; Metazoa; Chordata; Actinopteri; Cyprinodontiformes; Poeciliidae. The transcript has 2 exons.
UUUUUUAAAAAAAAAAAAAAAAAAAAAAAAAAAAAAAAAUGCUUAAACCUCCAAACCUCCAGAAAACAGACGUCCUUAGAAAGCCAAACGUUUAGACAUGCAAAUUCAAAAGCAGGGGGCGCAAUGAUCACCCUGGAUAUUCAUCCGCAGCCUGUUCAGACAAUUUUGUAUAUAUGCCAUUUCUUUUAAUGAAUAUCUACUUUUGAUAAAUUUACGAGAGGAAAAUACAAACUUUGAUGGGUUACAUUUAUUUAUUUGCCAAUUUAUCCUUUAUUUAUUCAUACCUGGUGUUCAAUUUCAACUCUGUCGCGACCUCAACCAGCACUACACUUUUAAAUGAUGAGAGACUUAGGUCAAAAACGUGUGUUUGAACUAUGGACACUAAGUUAUGUGUAGAUCCAAAGAAGUAAGAUUUUUUUUUUUUUGUUAUAUAAGAAAAUUAUAAAUUGUUAAAUGAUCAAGAAAAAGUAACACAAUGUCAGCAAUUAUCCUUUAGCUCCCGUCUUAUUAGUAUUACAGUAUGAGGUAAUUAUUAACUUAAAAUACAGCAUAACUACUUUACAACAAGCAAUAAUAAAACAUUUUACAGACCUGCUGUCAAAAUAAAAUAAAAACUUGACUGUUUACUGUAUCAAAUGAUUACUGUAGGUUCUGCUGUACAGUCUGACGCUUUUAUUCCAAAAAUUGCUUUGGAAAUGUAAAAAUAUUACAAGUGGCUGCAGUAAAAGGCAUUUAAUUGAAUAUAUAUUUAAGAACAUCAACCCACAUCUUCAAAUACUAGGUACUGGCAACAUAUUUUUAUCUGUCAAUUAUUAAUAUUGUAAUUUAAAUUACUAUCUCAGAAUUUAAAAUACACAAUAAAUCUACAGCAAAAAGAUAUUAACAGAUUAUGCAGUGCAUAAUUGCUGAUAAUAGGGCAGAUUCACUGUAAAAGCCUUAAACUUUAGAGUGACAGUAUGUUGCUUCGACAGUCAAGUCGUUGUAAAUGCAGCCUUUAAUUUUCAAGACAACAACAAUUAUUUACAGUACAUAUACUAAUUACGAAAUAAAUUGUAUUUUUUUAAAAUCAUUUACCUUAAUUUAAGUGUGUGCUAAGAUGUCAUAUCAGACGGUUUUUGGUAACAUGGAAGGUAUGGGGGGAAAAAAUCCCACAUUUUGAACUACUUUAACAGCAAAAUUCAUAAUAAAACUUCUGAAACUCUGUUACAAUCGUUUUUUGGCUAAUGGUGGCCCCCACAUCUUUUCGCCCCCUAGUAUUGCUUUUUGGUUGUGUCCCUGCGUCAUGUGAGUGUGUUUGGUUUGAAUGCUGGACAGGGGUUCCUGAUUCUGCUCUUCGUCAAUUUAAUCGCUUUUUAUCUCAUCGUAUAAAACUUAAAACGCGACUUUUCAAA